GCUGGGCGUGGUGGCGGGCGCCUGUAAUCCCAGCUACUCGGGAGGCUGAGGCAGGAGAAUCACCUGAGGUCAGGAGUUCAAGACCAGCCUGGCUAACAUGGUGAAACCCCGUCUCUA
Molecule: non-coding RNA, 117 nt
Filed under: Gorilla gorilla gorilla (western lowland gorilla)
Lineage: Eukaryota; Metazoa; Chordata; Mammalia; Primates; Hominidae
Source: Rfam by way of RNAcentral